CCUACGGGAGGCAGCAGUGGGGAAUAUUGCACAAUGGGGGAAACCCUGAUGCAGCGACGCCGCGUGAGUGAGGAAGUAUUUCGGUAUGUAAAGCUCUAUCAGCAGGGAAGAAAAUGACGGUACUUGACUAAGAAGCCCCGGCUAACUACGUGCCAGCAGCCGCGGUAAUACGUAGGGGGCAAGCGUUAUCCGGAUUUACUGGGUGUAAAGGGAGCGUAGACGGCUAAGCAAGUCCGAAGUGAAAACCCAGGGCUCAACCCUGGGACUGCAUUGGAAACUGAGGAGCUGGAGUGCAGGAGAGGUAAGCGGAAUUCCUAGUGUAGCGGUGAAAUGCGUAGAUAUUAGGAGGAACACCAGUGGCGAAGGCGGCUUACUGGACUGUAACUGACGUUGAGGCUCGAAAGCGUGGGGAGCAAACAGGAUUAGAUACCCGUGUAGUC
This 440-nucleotide ribosomal RNA is filed under the name uncultured bacterium. Its description in RNAcentral is "partial 16S ribosomal RNA". It matches the Rfam family "Bacterial small subunit ribosomal RNA", at positions 338 to 795 of the family's 1533-position model. The record is from RNAcentral.